Molecule: transfer RNA, 62 nt
Filed under: Tessmannella kiplingi
Lineage: Eukaryota; Metazoa; Arthropoda; Insecta; Hymenoptera; Liopteridae
Description: tRNA-Thr
Source: RNAcentral
GGCUAUAUAGUUUAAAUAAAACAUUAAUUUUGUAAAUUAAAAUUAGAGAAAUUUUAUAGCUU